This is a non-coding RNA of Dermacentor albipictus, 558 nucleotides long. NCBI's taxonomy places the organism in Eukaryota, Metazoa, Arthropoda, Arachnida, Ixodida, Ixodidae. The record is from RefSeq and is a predicted model, not a curated record.
GCAUGCAGCUUUCCAAUAACUUCCCAUGUUACAGUAAACUACACCGUUGAUUAUCGUUAUUUUAAGUAUAAGCAAGACAUAGGAUCUUAUUGCGAAAGCUUCCAAGAAUGUUCUGCGACGCAUGUGCGUGAGAAAUGGAUCGGUGCUGUUUCAACGAAAGUGCUUUACCUGCACAGAGGGAGGAAAGCUUAGGAGAGGCUCUGACCAGCCAAGCUGUGUUGGAGAAGGCACGUCAGAAGUCGCAUGCUGUUUUUUCACAAAAGGAGCACCGGGAUUGGUGGUCCAAACACCCUUGUUUCCCCAGCAAUCGCACCCGUGGAGCUCUCGCUGCUCUCAGCCUCCAAAAAAGUCACGAAAAAUAACACAGGGGUGUGCCUGCUUCAAUAAAGCUGUUACAGAAGCUUUGCAAGUUGUGUUCAGACGUUCACCAGCAAUGCAUGCUCCCGGCUGACCUCCGUACUGCAAGUUCGAAGCUUGCGCCCAUCCGGUCUGGCGAGCUGAUUGGAGACACAAAGGGAGAUGGAAUACCAAGAUGGCUGCACAUUCCGCUUCGAAAAC